UACAAACACACCAACUCCGACUUUGAUUCUCUCUUUUAUCUUUUAAAACCUUUCAUUUUGAUCCUGUUAAUAAUUUAUACACGAAUUAAAGACUUCUCAACUUUGCACACCUCAAGAACAUUUCAGCUUUCCUUGCCUUUUUUUUUUUUUUUUUUAAUCUGGGUUUUGCAAAAAAAGGCGGAGUGGUUUUGCUGGAUUCAUGGAAGCUAAUAAAGAAAAGAAUAAUAUCUUUUUGCUUCCACUGAUUCUUCUUUGAUGAGUACGCAUUUGGAUUUGGGUGCUGUAUCUGAUAGGAGAUUCACCAGAUUCUAUUGUUUCUGCGGAUUAUUUACUUGUUACAGCUUGGUUGCCGGCAAAAGUUUGCUAUCCUGCUGGCAGAUAAUAUCUCAUCAUGGAAUGGCUGA
Long non-coding RNA from Pistacia vera, 404 nucleotides. RefSeq lists it as uncharacterized. The record is from RefSeq and is a predicted model, not a curated record. The transcript has 3 exons. Lineage: Eukaryota; Viridiplantae; Streptophyta; Magnoliopsida; Sapindales; Anacardiaceae.